GACGAACGCUGGCGGCGUGCUUAACACAUGCAAGUCGAACGGAAAGGCCCUGCUUUUGUGGGGUGCUCGAGUGGCGAACGGGUGAGUAACACGUGAGUAACCUGCCCUUGACUUUGGGAUAACUUCAGGAAACUGGGGCUAAUACCGGAUAGGAGCUCCUGCUGCAUGGUGGGGGUUGGAAAGUUUCGGCGGUUGGGGAUGGACUCGCGGCUUAUCAGCUUGUUGGAGGGGUAGUGGCUUACCAAGGCUUUGACGGGUAGCCGGCCUGAGAGGGUGACCGGCCACAUUGGGACUGAGAUACGGCCCAGACUCCUACGGGAGGCAGCAGUGGGGAAUAUUACACAAUGGGCGGAAGCCUGAUGCAGCAACGCCGCGUGCGGGAUGACGGCCUUCGGGUUGUAAACCGCUUUCGCCUGUGACGAAGCGUGAGUGACGGUAAUGGGUAAAGAAGCACCGGCUAACUACGUG
This 468-nucleotide ribosomal RNA is filed under the name uncultured bacterium. Its description in RNAcentral is "partial 16S ribosomal RNA". It matches the Rfam family "Bacterial small subunit ribosomal RNA", at positions 28 to 507 of the family's 1533-position model. The record is from RNAcentral.